RNAcentral lists this ribosomal RNA (274 nucleotides) under uncultured bacterium. Its description in RNAcentral is "partial 16S ribosomal RNA". It matches the Rfam family "Bacterial small subunit ribosomal RNA", at positions 523 to 796 of the family's 1533-position model. The record is from RNAcentral.
AUACGGAGGGUGCAAGCGUUAUUCGGAAUCACUGGGCGUAAAGGGUGCGUAGGCGGUUUGAUAAGUCUGAUGUGAAAUCCUAUGGCUCAACCAUAGAACUGCAUUGGAAACUGUCAGACUAGAAUACUGAAGGGGCAGAUGGAAUUAGUGGUGUAGGGGUAAAAUCCGUAGAUAUCACUAGGAAUACCGAAAGCGAAAGCGAUCUGCUGGGAAGUUAUUGACGCUGAGGCACGAAAGCGUGGGGAGCAUACGGGAUUAGAAACCCCAGUAGUCC